This is a non-coding RNA of Cherax quadricarinatus, 1813 nucleotides long. NCBI's taxonomy places the organism in Eukaryota, Metazoa, Arthropoda, Malacostraca, Decapoda, Parastacidae. The record is from RefSeq and is a predicted model, not a curated record.
UACCUCGUCCUUGAUUACUUGGUUUUUCCCCGCCUCCCACACCCUGAAGAAGCUACUCACCUGUCUCAGUUCCACGUUAACUGCUGCUGCACACUCACUCCAAAUCUGGCAGGUCGUCGACUGCUGCGUGUCGCCACCAGUGUCUCUCCUUCUUUCAAAGUGUGAAGCUCUCACCUCUGAGGACUCUGGUUGACCAGGAUCUGGUGAAGUUGACUCCCUCACUCACCAGCCACACAACUCCAGCUGCUGCUCCACCAAGUUGACUCCCUCACUCACCAGCCACACAACUCCAGCUGCUGCUCCACCAAGUUGACUCCCUCACUCACCAGCCACACAACUCCAGCUGCUGCUCCACCAAGUUGACUCCCUCACUCACCAGCCACACAACACCAGCUGCUGCUCCACCAAGUUGACUCCCUCACUCACCAGCCACACAACACCAGCUGCUGCUCCACCAAGUUGACUCCCUCACUCACCAGCUACACAACACCACUGCUGCUCCACCAAAUUGACUCCCUCACUCACCAGCCACACAACACCAGCUGCUGCUCCACCAAGUUGACUCCCUCACUCACCAGCCACAACAACACCAGCUGCUGCUCCACCAAGUUGACUCCCUCACUCACCACCACACAACACCAGCUGCUGCUCCACCAAGUUGACUCCCUCACUCACCAGCCACACAACACCAGCUGCUGCUCCACCAAGUUGACUCCCUCACUCACCAGCCACACAACACCAGCUGCUGCUCCACCAAGUUGACUCCCUCACUCACUAGCCACACAACACCAGCUGCUGCUCCACCAAGUUGACUCCCUCACUCACCAGCCACACAACACCAGCUGCUGCUCCACCAAGUUGACUCCCUCACUCACCAGCCACACACAACUCCAGCUACACAACACCAGCUACACAACACCAGCUACACAACACCAGCUACACAACACCAGCUACACAACACCAGCUACACAACACCAGCUACACAACACCAGCUACACAACACCAGCUACACAACACCAGCCACACACAACACCAGCUACACAACACCAGCUACACAACACCAGCUACACAACACCAGCUACACAACACCAGCUACACAACACCAGCUACACAACACCAGCUACACAACACCAUGAAAUACACGCUGCUGAUAAUGCUGCUGCUGCUGCUGCUGUGUCUUCAGCUGACACUUGCUGAUCCUCAGUUCGGGGGAGGUGCAGGAGUCUUCAUCGGUAGAUUUGUACGUAGAAAUAAGGUACAGCGCCAGCGCAGUGACCGCAAACAAGCCAGACUACUGCCGUACUACCAGUAUGCUUCAGGAGUUCCCUAUCCUUAUCCCUGUUAAUAUCAAGGUUAACGAGAGCAUCAGAAGAAGAUAAACUAGUAUGUAACCAUCAUUAUAGUGAGAAUGUACCUCAGAUCAGCGUGGUACUCUCCAUGGUACCAUAACGUCACUCAAACCAUGAUGGUACCAUACUCUACUUGCUGCAGUAUUAACAAGGGCAUUACCAAGAGAUACAGUCCAGGCACAUCCUUCAUGUGUUAAACUCGUAUGGGUCUCAGAGAUGACUGCUGAAGUAACCGUACAGGUUUAACAGAUUUUAAAUAAUAAUAGAAAAUAAGAUUGGGUUCCUUCAGACUGUGACAGUUACAUAACGAAUGUUCUUAAUAACUGUUCCACUUUUAUUGUGGCCAAACUGUUACGUUAUCACAUUCCUAUGUGAUCUUCGUUACGUAGAUAUUAGGUACUUACUCUGUUGCUAGCAAGGAUUCGAUACUGCGUCAUCAUGCCCAGCCCAAUGAGAACAGGACA